CGGCAGGCCUAACACAUGCAAGUCGAGCGGAAACGACAUCAUUGAUUCUUCGGAGGAUUUGUUGGGCGUCGAGCGGCGGACGGGUGAGUAAUGCCUAGGAAAUUGCCUUGAUGUGGGGGAUAACCAUUGGAAACGAUGGCUAAUACCGCAUAAUGCCUACGGGCCAAAGAGGGGGACCUUCGGGCCUCUCGCGUCAAGAUAUGCCUAGGUGGGAUUAGCUAGUUGGUGAGGUAAUGGCUCACCAAGGCGACGAUCCCUAGCUGGUCUGAGAGGAUGAUCAGCCACACUGGAACUGAGACACGGUCCAGACUCCUACGGGAGGCAGCAGUGGGGAAUAUUGCACAAUGGGCGAAAGCCUGAUGCAGCCAUGCCGCGUGUAUGAAGAAGGCCUUCGGGUUGUAAAGUACUUUCAGUUGUGAGGAAGGGUGUGUAGUUAAUAGCUGCGCAUCUUGACGUUAGCAACAGAAGAAGCACCGGCUAACUCCGUGCCAGCAGCCGCGGUAAUACGGAGGGUGCGAGCGUUAAUCGGAAUUACUGGGCGUAAAGCGCAUGCAGGUGGUUCAUUAAGUCAGAUGUGAAAGCCCGGGGCUCAACCUCGGAACUGCAUUUGAAACUGGUGAACUAGAGUGCUGUAGAGGGGGGUAGAAUUUCAGGUGUAGCGGUGAAAUGCGUAGAGAUCUGAAGGAAUACCAGUGGCGAA
Molecule: ribosomal RNA, 700 nt
Filed under: Vibrio sp. HCG1016
Lineage: Bacteria; Pseudomonadati; Pseudomonadota; Gammaproteobacteria; Vibrionales; Vibrionaceae
Description: bacterial SSU rRNA
Rfam family: Bacterial small subunit ribosomal RNA
Source: RNAcentral